CGUGAGGCGGAGCUAAUCCCUUAAAGCCAUUCUCAGUUCGGAUUGUAGGCUGAAACUCGCCUACAUGAAGCUGGAGUUACUAGUAAUCGCAGAUCAGAAUGCUGCGGUGAAUGCGUUCCCGGGUCUUGUACACACCGCCCGUCACACCACGGAAGUUGGGGGCGCCCGAAGCCACUUAGCUAACCCUUUGGGAAGCGAGUGUCGAAGGUGAAAUCAAUAACUGGGGUGAAGUCGUAACAAGGUAUC
Molecule: ribosomal RNA, 246 nt
Filed under: uncultured bacterium
Lineage: Bacteria
Description: partial 16S ribosomal RNA
Rfam family: Bacterial small subunit ribosomal RNA
Source: RNAcentral